UUACAGAUUUAAAUUUUAGAAAACUCUAAUAAUUAAUUUAUUUGACAUAGACCUUUUCAUACUUUUCCUGCUUUCCUACUUUAUGUUAUAUAUUUGUAAUGAUAAAAAUAUUGUACUGAUUGUUCCAUUGACUAAUAAUAGUUUUACAGGUAAAAUCCAAUGACACCAUUCAGCAGUCAAAGCAGAACUUAUUAACUUGAUUCCAAAAUUAUGGUUUGGAUAAUAAGGAAAUCAUAAAUUCUCAAAACAAAUUUUCUCGUAAAUUUGAAAAAUUUUAUUGAGACGGAGUAUAGAUAUUCUACGUUGUGGUCAUAAGAAAAUAAUUAAAGAAAUUGCAAAUACUUUGUACGCAUAUGUUUGUAAAAACGAUCAAAAAGUAGAAAUGUUGCACAACUGUUGUUUAAUAUAUGCUGAUGAACUUACAGAUUUAAAGGAAAAUAAGGAUCUUAUUGACUAUUAUGAAAAUAUGGUUUGCGAUUGGAGUUAUGAAGAUAAAAAUUUGACAACGGUACUUCGAGAAGAUAACAUGACUAUGGACAAAUAGUUGUAUUGACUGGUGAUACUGAAGAUACAGGCCGCAUCAAGGUGGAUCGUUAUAAUUAAGAUUUAAAAAUAUUAAUGGAUGACGACAGAUUUAUUUUAAUUGUUAAAAAAAUAUUUAAUUUGUAAAAAUUAUAUAAAACAAUAAAUAGUAAAAAAAUGUCUGUGUUAUCUAC
This is a long non-coding RNA of Daktulosphaira vitifoliae (grape phylloxera), 716 nucleotides long. RefSeq lists it as uncharacterized. The record is from RefSeq and is a predicted model, not a curated record. The transcript is spliced from 2 exons. NCBI's taxonomy places the organism in Eukaryota, Metazoa, Arthropoda, Insecta, Hemiptera, Phylloxeridae.